The sequence is a transfer RNA, 72 nucleotides long. It matches the Rfam family "tRNA". From Rfam's summary of the family: Transfer RNA (tRNA) molecules are approximately 80 nucleotides in length. Their secondary structure includes four short double-helical elements and three loops (D, anti-codon, and T loops). The record is from Rfam.
GCUUACUUGGUCUAAUGGUUAGGAUUACUGCCUUCCAAGCAGUAGGUUCGAGUUCAAUUCUCGGAGUAAGCA